CAAUAGCGUAUAUUAAAGUUGUUGCAGUUAAAAAGCUCGUAGUUGGAUUUGUGGCGUACGGUGUGUUCCGGGCACUUGUUGUCUGAGUAACCUGCUGUCGCCAUCCUUGGGUGGAACCUGUGUGGCAUUAGGUUGUCGUGCAGGGGAUGCCCAUCAUUUACUGUGAAAAAAUUAGAGUGUUCAAAGCAGGCUUAUGCCGUUGAAUAUAUUAGCAUGGAAUAAUGAGAUAGGACUUUUUUGCUAUUUUGUUGGUUUGCGCAAGAAGGUAAUGAUUAAUAGGGACAGUUGGGGGUAUUCGUAUUCCAUUGUCAGAGGUGAAAUUCUUGGAUUUUUGGAAGACGAACUACUGCGAAAGCAUUUACCAAGGAUGUUUUCAUUAA
This 380-nucleotide ribosomal RNA is filed under the name uncultured eukaryote. RNAcentral describes it as "partial 18S ribosomal RNA". It matches the Rfam family "Eukaryotic small subunit ribosomal RNA", at positions 592 to 976 of the family's 1831-position model. The record is from RNAcentral.